Molecule: long non-coding RNA, 1272 nt
Organism: Ochotona princeps (American pika)
Lineage: Eukaryota; Metazoa; Chordata; Mammalia; Lagomorpha; Ochotonidae
Exons: 3
Source: RefSeq, a predicted model, not a curated record
UCACCGCUCUAACUCUGCCCAGCACACGACCUCUCCUGCCUAAGCGUAAAUGAAACCCAGCUCCAACCCAGCCUUCUGCACUCCUUCACAAGGAGCUCUGGGACAGGUGUGCCCCAGCUCCUGUCAACCACCAGCCUUCUCUCUGCGACCCUCAAGCUACUUGGUCCUCAAGCGCGUGUGCCAGGCAACAGUUCAGAGCCAGCUGGAGCAGGGAGGACAGGAAGUUGACAGUCCUGCCUGCCAGUCCCCCACGAGGCUGGUGGCGCCUGUGUCGCUGACUUUCCUGCUCAGUUGCUGCAGACAUGGGGAGGGUUGCUUCCAUGGUUCCUGCCGUCCAGGGCACCACCAGGGCAGCCUCUGAGUGUUUGUUCCUGCAGAGUCCCCUGCGUGGGGGGUGAUCUGGCUCCUCUCCGGCUGCCUUUGAAAAUGGCAAUUACAGUGACAUCACAAAUAUUUGCUGACUGUUACCCUCCAGUAGGACUCCGGACUUGGCAAGGCCUCAGCCUGAGGGAACCUUGUAUCUCCAUGGCAUUUCCAUCUGGUGUAAGCUGAGGGAUGAAGGUAGCACAUGGAAGGGCCCUGGCCCCAGCUCCUGAAGAGGACCAGGGGUGGGCUGAAGCCACCUUCAUGGGCUUGCAAAUCGUGGGAAUAUAUCCACCAAGAAAACACAAGGACACAAGAGUCCAGCUCGCUUGCACCAGCGAGUUGAGCAGUACAGCACUGGGAGAUUCCUCACCCCUCUCCAUCUGAGUUCCCUGCCUGAAGAGCGGAUGUACAUGUCCUGUCUCCAGAGCUCCCACAAGUGUGGACACAUCAAGCAGCCUCACACCCAGCGGCUGAUCCAAAAUCACUAAAUCACUCCGCAGCACGCUCUUUUUCUUCCAGAACUAAUACUAAAAGUUAACAACAAGUUCGGAUUUCCUUUGAGUUCGUGGGAGGAUGAACAAAGACGGAGCAUAUGUCUGUUUCCUGAGAUUGGGAAACCGAGGCGUGAGAAUUGGAAGAAGCUUGUCCGAGGCCACACAUCUGGCAAGCAGGAGAGCCAUCGGGGAGCAUCCUGAGCCACCCCCUGGCCAUGGUUGUUUGGAGAACGGACGAGCUCUAGGAGCCUCAGCUGCUGCAUCUUCAUGAUGGGAGUAGCACCAUGGCUCAGAUCAACUUGGGAUCCAUUUUGACCAGAGAGGUGCCGUCAUCUGAUACUGACAAUAGAAGGUAAGAACAAGGCUUGGACCUUGCUGCCUCCAGCUUCUUGCAGUGAAACAGUUAACAGCC